This 116-nucleotide ribosomal RNA is filed under the name Meriones unguiculatus (Mongolian gerbil). The record is from RNAcentral. Lineage: Eukaryota; Metazoa; Chordata; Mammalia; Rodentia; Muridae.
GUCUAUGGCCACACCACCCGGAACACACCCGGAUUUCAUCUGAUCUUGGGAGCUAAGCAGUCAGGCCUGGUUAGUGCUUUGAUGGUGUUUGCUUAGCAUGUAGGAAGCCUUUGGCU